This 723-nucleotide ribosomal RNA is filed under the name Alcaligenes phenolicus. RNAcentral describes it as "bacterial SSU rRNA". It matches the Rfam family "Bacterial small subunit ribosomal RNA", at positions 383 to 1184 of the family's 1533-position model. The record is from RNAcentral. Lineage: Bacteria; Pseudomonadati; Pseudomonadota; Betaproteobacteria; Burkholderiales; Alcaligenaceae.
CUGAUCCAGCCAUCCCGCGUGUAUGAUGAAGGCCUUCGGGUUGUAAAGUACUUUUGGCAGAGAAGAAAAGGUAUCCCCUAAUACGGGAUACUGCUGACGGUAUCUGCAGAAUAAGCACCGGCUAACUACUUGCCAGCAGCCGCGGUAAUACGUACGGUGCAAGCGUUAAUCGGAAUUACUGGGCGUAAAGCGUGUGUAGGCGGUUCGGAAAGAAAGAUGUGAAAUCCCAGGGCUCAACCUUGGAACUGCAUUUUUAACUGCCGAGCUCCAGUAUGUCAGAGGGGGGUAGAAUUCCACGUGUAGCACUGAAAUGCGUAGAUGUGUGGAGGAAUACCGAUGGCGAACGCAGCCCCCUGGGAUAAUACUGACGCUCAGACACGAAUGCGUGGGGAGCAAACAGGAUUAGAUACCCUGGUAGUCCACGCCCUAAACGAUGUCAACUAGCUCUUGGGGCCGUUAGGCCUUAGUAGCGCAGCUACGCGUGAAGUUGACCGCCUGGGGAGUACGGUCGCAAGAUUAAAACUCAAGGAAUUGACGCGGACCCGCACAAGCGGUGGAUGAUGUGUAUUAAUUCGAUGCAACGCGUAAUACCUUACCUACCGCGUGACAUGUCUGGAAUGACGAAGACGAAGGGGCCGUGCUCGCAAGAGAACAGGGAACACAGGUCAUCCAUUGCUGUCGUCCAUAUAAUGGUUCUCCGUCCGUCCUCGUUAGCUCGUGUCG